CAUUUGCCUUAUAAUUGAAGGCUAGUAUGAAUGGUUUGACAAGAAUGUAGCUGUCUCUUUAUAAUUAAAUAGAAUUUUAUUUAUAGGUGAAGAAGCCUAUAUUAAAUUAAAAGACAAGAAGACCCUAUCGAGCUUGAAAAAAACUAGUAGAGUAAGUAGUUAAUGAUAUCAGAAAAUUUACUAUUAGAAAUUUUAGUUGGGGCGACUAAGGAACAAAAAAAGCUUCCUUUAAGAAUUAAAAACUAAACAAGUAUUGAUCCAAAACAUUUGAUUAAAGGAAUUAGUUACCGUAGGGAUAACAGCAUUAUCUUUUUUAAGAGCUCUUAUCGAAAAAAAGGUUUGUGACCUCGAUGUUGGACCAGAAUAUCCUAAAGAUGCAGCAGUCUUUAAGGGUUGGUCUGUUCGACCAUUAAAAUUCU
Molecule: ribosomal RNA, 419 nt
Filed under: Buccinum bayani
Lineage: Eukaryota; Metazoa; Mollusca; Gastropoda; Neogastropoda; Buccinidae
Also listed under: 1 other name
Description: partial 16S rRNA
Rfam family: Bacterial large subunit ribosomal RNA
Source: RNAcentral